ACAGAAAUAAAACCAGGUUAAAGGACAGUUCAGGUAAAAGGCACAAUGAGCUCAUUCUUCUGGAACAACUGCCAAAAGCCAGGGUGAUCCCUGAGGAGCUGGGCUCCGCCCAAGGGCAAACGCUGCCCUUUUCGCGGCGGUGUCUGGUCAGGCCUACGCAGAAGGCAAUACCUGGCAAAGUCCAAGAAGUAAAAAGUCGAUGGCAGACAGAAAGAUGGGGCCCACUGCUGAGGCCUCCCAUCUCCCAGGACAGCAGCGCUGUGACCUACAGCCCUCUCAGGCGUGCGGAGGCACUUGACUGAUACAGGACUACGCACAGAAACUCUUCAGGAGCAACAAGGCCCGCGGUGCUAAUCGUCUCUCACCAAAGUCAGAGACACCCAAGAGGACUAAGAAGAACCAGAAAGGAAUGUUCCUGAGUUACACGCAAAGCUAACUCAAGACAUAAAGGAGCAUUUCUUCACUGUCAGGGGCUAGGACUGAAACUCUGGCUAAAGGUCCGUGCUGGAAAGAGCUGGAAAAGAGAACAGACCUUCUGUCCUCGGAGGGUUAGCUAUUUGCUGGGUGGUCUCUCAAUCCUGUCCAGCUCCAGAACUCUAUACAAAUACGAAUUACAAUACGGGCUAGGGUGCUGGGGCUGACUUGGGAUUCAGUCCUCCCGAGGGGGCCCUGAGAAGGCCCAGAAGGGAGCCGGCCAGUCCCGAGCCCCCCUUUGUCGUCUGUCCUGAACUCGCUUCGUGUACACCAUUUAGCUUCCGCAGCAGCGGCAGGGGCAGAGGCCCCCCGAAGUCCUGUGUGUGGGCGGGAGAAGGCCGAGCCUGAAAAGCUGCCUUUGUGCCCUCAGCCGGCUCAGGGAGCCAGGGGAGCCAUUAGCCCGUUGCUAGGUGACGGCCCGAAUGAAUCCGCACUCAACGCUGUCACAUGCGUCAUCCCUUUACACGAAUGAAUGCGGGAAGAGCUGCUGGAGAGGGCUGUGGGCUGAAGGACCUGUUGACAGAGAAAAUGGUUCUGUCACAGGGAGCUAAAUGUGCAGCCUCACGUGGCAGAUCCGCAUCUUCUGAUCAGAAAACCGGCUCGAUCCAGA
Long non-coding RNA from Leopardus geoffroyi (Geoffroy's cat), 1084 nucleotides. RefSeq lists it as uncharacterized. The record is from RefSeq and is a predicted model, not a curated record. Lineage: Eukaryota; Metazoa; Chordata; Mammalia; Carnivora; Felidae. The transcript has 2 exons.